RNAcentral lists this long non-coding RNA (969 nucleotides) under Chinchilla lanigera (long-tailed chinchilla). RNAcentral's name for it is "lncRNA (ENSCLAG00000024239.1)". The record is from RNAcentral. Lineage: Eukaryota; Metazoa; Chordata; Mammalia; Rodentia; Chinchillidae.
GAGGCAGGGCAGCUCCUACCGUCCCUGCGGCAUGCAAGGUGUUGUCAGCUCCAGGUCUCUAUGUGACCUUGGGCAGGGACAGCGGGAUGUGGAAGUCGCAAAGCAGCACACUCUGGCAUUCCCAUGAAGCAAAAGACAGGCAACCCCGAGCAGAGGAGCCCUUAUGGACUCUCUGGAAAAGAAAAGAACUUAGAAUCCAGAAAUUCUACUUGAGCUCAGACUUUCAAUCAAAGGCUCAGGGGUCACGAUAAAGCAGUUCUUAUGUGGGAUACAGCAUCUGUGAACAUCUUUAUCAAGAGAAUCACUCUUCCAAGACCUGUUCACCCCAGAGUCAUGAUUAGGAGUUCCAGGCCCGGUGGGAGACUGCAGGACUCUGAAGACGGCUCUGUUUCCCCGUCAAAAAUGCAUCUGGUUUUGCAGUCAACUUUGACCCCCAAAGCUAUAGAAGGUUGUCUCCCUGAACAUUACCAACACAAACCAUGGCCACAAAGCUGAGUUCACUGCUCACUGAAGGGAAGAGUAAUGCCACCAAGGGAGGGUUUGUCAGGAGCUCAGGGUGUGAAAGGAAAGGUCAGAAUAGAUGGAAAUUUAGACAGGAAGUUAGACUUAAAGCAGGAUUCGGUUAAGACAGAAUAACACUCAAGACACCACUAUCACCAAGGACAGAGGGAAAUACAAGGCAAGGGCUUGGAGGUAGGAGAUUCCUUUGUGUCCUGGAGAACAGACUGUCUGUGGAUGUUUUCCAUGAAGGAUUUGAUGGUCCUGUCAGGAAGUUUCUCUCAUGAGCUAUCAAACCAUUUGCAUACGUAGGCGGUUCAUGGAAAAACCAAAUUAAGCUCAUGAAGGCAGAGGACCAGCCCAAGGCCAAGCUAAUGCAGAAUAAAUUGUGUCAGAUCUGUGUCAGUGUGUCUAGACAGAGUGGGGGAGGGGGCAAAGGCUCUCAAGUAAGAAACUGCCAUAAGUGACAAA